Molecule: ribosomal RNA, 394 nt
Filed under: uncultured bacterium
Lineage: Bacteria
Description: partial 16S ribosomal RNA
Rfam family: Bacterial small subunit ribosomal RNA
Source: RNAcentral
AUACGUAGGGAGCGAGCGUUGUCCGGAAUUACUGGGCGUAAAGGGCGCGUAGGCGGCGCUUCAAGUCGUCUGUCAAAUGGGAGGGCUUAACCCUUUUUCGCAGACGAAACUGGAGAGCUUGAGAAGCAGAGAGGCAAACAGAAUUCCUGGUGUAGCGGUGAAAUGCGUAGAUAUCAGGAAGAAUACCAGUGGCGAAGGCGGGUGGCUGGCUGCAUACUGACGCUGAAGCGCGAAAGCCAGGGGAGCAAACGGGAUUAGAUACCCCGGUAGUCCUGGCAGUAAACGAUGUAUGCUGGAUGUGAGACUAGCGAUAGUUUCGUGCCGAAGUUAACGCGAUAAGCAUACCGCCUGGGGAGUACGGUCGCAAGAUUGAAACUCAAAGGAAUUGACGGGG